UUUCGUCUUCCUGUCUGUCAUGUCCAGCCUGUGCAGAGCUGGCUGAGCUGGUGAGAGGGGUGGGGGCGUCGCGGUGCUGCUUCUGCUCUGAUGAAGGCACCCACUGUCACUGUCCCGGCCCUCGCUGAGGGUCCCCAGACCCGUGGGACCGCGUCUAUGCCAGGCCUCAGGGAGUUCUUCAGCCUCGGAGCCUCUUCCUGUUCUCAGACCUCAGUGCGGGGAGGAAAUCAGGAUUCACGUCUGCAAUACGGAAGGGAGACCCUUGGGAGCUCAGAGACUGCUGAGGCCCCUAGGCUCAGCAUGGGGUGUCCAGAGUUGUUGCCUUGUGGACCAAGACAGCCCACAGCCCAUGGCAGCUUCCAGAGCCAGAAGAACAGGAGUCAUCUCUGAAGAGCCCGGGGCUACCUCUUUGCUGAUCUCAUUGGCCAGAACUUUCUGGCUCUCACGCUCACCCCAAGGCCAAUCACUAGCAAGAUAAAAAAGCAGCACCCCUGCAGGGCCGAGACCAGCUAUACCCUGGGCAGGGGAGGGGCUGCCCCUUCCUUACCUGAACUCAGUUAAAUUUAUUUUUAUUUUUUAACAUAAAGAAAAGGCAAUGGGAAUUCAGUGAGUGGACGACUAGCCACCUCUGUGGCUGCCUGCCGUGUGAGCGUGGGCCGUGUUCCGUCCUUGGUCUCCUCGUGGCUGCCUGCCGUGUGAGCGUGGGCCGUGUUCUGUCUUUGGUCUCCUCUGUGAAGCGGGAAUAAAAGCAGGGACUAGGUUCUGACCCCUCAGACCUCGCUCCUGAGCUUUCCACGUCUGUAUCCAUUUGCUCUUCAUCCCUACCCUCAAGACUUUCAGGAUUCCGUCUGCAGAUGAGGACUCAGUGAGGCCCCGCUUACGGGGCUGAGCUGAGGGGCCAGAGGUCCAGCCCAGAGGUCAUUGGCUCCCUGGAGCUCUGGGAGCUCCCGGCUCCCAGCAGUGCGUGAAUGUGCA
Chlorocebus sabaeus (green monkey) is the source of this 975-nucleotide long non-coding RNA. RefSeq lists it as uncharacterized. NCBI's taxonomy places the organism in Eukaryota, Metazoa, Chordata, Mammalia, Primates, Cercopithecidae. The record is from RefSeq and is a predicted model, not a curated record.